Molecule: unclassified non-coding RNA, 159 nt
Filed under: uncultured fungus
Lineage: Eukaryota; Fungi
Description: sequence contains ITS1, 5.8S rRNA gene
Source: RNAcentral
AAGAUUCGGGUCGCAAGAUCUAUCUUUUCUCCAGCUGUGCGCUUCGGCUGCACGCUGUUGAAAUCCAACCUUCACACCUGUGAACCUUUCGGGGGCGCUCUGCGCUUCCGCUUUACAUGUAACAACUUAAGUUUAGAAUGUUUUAAUACUAUAAAGUAA